GACGAACGCUGGCGGCGUGCUUAACACAUGCAAGUCGAACGGAAAGGCCCUGCUUUUGUGGGGUGCUCGAGUGGCGAACGGGUGAGUAACACGUGAGUAACCUGCCCUUGACUUUGGGAUAACUUCAGGAAACUGGGGCUAAUACCGGAUAGGAGCUCCUGCUGCAUGGUGGGGGUCGGAAAGUUUCGGCGGUUGGGGAUGGACUCGCGGCUUAUCAGCUUGUUGGUGGGGUAGUGGCUUACCAAGGCUUUGACGGGUAGCCGGCCUGAGAGGGUGACCGGCCACAUUGGGACUGAGAUACGGCCCAGACUCCUACAGGAGGCAGCAGUGGGGAAUAUUGCACAAUGGGCGGAAGCCUGAUGCAGCAACGCCGCGUGCGGGAUGACGGCCUUCGGGUUGUAAACCGCUUUCGCCUGUGACGAAGCGUGAGUGACGGUAAUGGGUAAAGAAGCACCGGCUAACUACGUG
RNAcentral lists this ribosomal RNA (468 nucleotides) under uncultured bacterium. RNAcentral's name for it is "partial 16S ribosomal RNA". It matches the Rfam family "Bacterial small subunit ribosomal RNA", at positions 28 to 507 of the family's 1533-position model. The record is from RNAcentral.